CGGGGAAUCUUGCGCAAUGGGCGAAAGCCUGACGCAGCAACGCCGCGUGGGGGAUGAAGGCCCUCGGGUUGUAAACCCCUUUCAGCAGGGACGAAAUUGACGGUACCUGCAGAAGAAGCCCCGGCCAACUACGUGCCAGCAGCCGCGGUAAUACGUAGGGGGCAAGCGUUGUCCGGAUUUAUUGGGCGUAAAGGGCGCGUAGGCGGCUUGGCAAGUCGGGUGUGAAAUCUCCAGGCUCAACCUGGAGUCGCCACCCGAUACUGCCAUGGCUAGAGUCCGGUAGGGGACCACGGAAUCUCUGGUGUAGCGGUGAAAUGCGCAGAUAUCAGAGGGAACACCGGUGGCGAAGGCGGUGGUCUGGGCCGGAACUGACGCUGAUGCGCGAAAGCGUGGGGAGCGAACAG
RNAcentral lists this ribosomal RNA (404 nucleotides) under uncultured bacterium. RNAcentral's name for it is "bacterial SSU rRNA". It matches the Rfam family "Bacterial small subunit ribosomal RNA", at positions 355 to 775 of the family's 1533-position model. The record is from RNAcentral.